UUAGCCUACGGGAGGCAGCAGUCGGGAAUAUUGCACAAUGGAGGGAACUCUGACCCAGCAACGCCGCGUGAAGGAAGAAGGCUUUCGGGUUGUAAACUUCUUUUGACAGGGAAGAGUAGAAGACGGUACCUGUCGAAUAAGCCACGGCUAACUACGCGCCAGCAGCCGCGGUAAUACGUAGGUGGCAAGCGUUGUCCGGAUUUACUGGGUGUAAAGGGCGUGUAGCCGGGUUGACAAGUCAGAUGUGAAAUCCUGCGGCUUAACCGCAGAACUGCAUUUGAAACUGUUGAUCUUGAGUACUGGAG
RNAcentral lists this ribosomal RNA (305 nucleotides) under uncultured bacterium. RNAcentral describes it as "bacterial SSU rRNA". It matches the Rfam family "Bacterial small subunit ribosomal RNA", at positions 334 to 654 of the family's 1533-position model. The record is from RNAcentral.